RNAcentral lists this transfer RNA (72 nucleotides) under Mesocricetus auratus (golden hamster). It matches the Rfam family "tRNA". Rfam says of the family: Transfer RNA (tRNA) molecules are approximately 80 nucleotides in length. Their secondary structure includes four short double-helical elements and three loops (D, anti-codon, and T loops). The record is from Rfam by way of RNAcentral. Lineage: Eukaryota; Metazoa; Chordata; Mammalia; Rodentia; Cricetidae.
GCUGGAGUGGCUCAAUGGCAAAGUGUUUGCCUAGCAUGUACAAGGUCCUGGGUUCGAUCCCCAGCACCAGAU